This is a long non-coding RNA of Bubalus bubalis (water buffalo), 780 nucleotides long. RefSeq lists it as uncharacterized. The transcript has 2 exons. The record is from RefSeq and is a predicted model, not a curated record. Lineage: Eukaryota; Metazoa; Chordata; Mammalia; Artiodactyla; Bovidae.
GAGAAACUCAGCAGGAUGGCACGUAUUUCAAAUGAGAAAUAACUUUCAAAAGCAAAGUUGACCUCUUAGAGGAUGAUUACAUUAAGGAGGUAGCAGUUUUCCUGAUGGCUCAGACGGUAAAGAAUCCACCUGCAAUGUGGGAGACCAGGAUUUGAUAUCUGGGAUGGGAAGAUUCCCUGGAGGAGGGCAGCUUAACUCCUCUUCCACGCGAUACUGGAAGCAAAACAGGCAGGAGUGGCGGGCGAUCCGGAGUGGACAGAAGAGGGUUCCAGGAAAACAAAAACAUCUCCCUCCACAAUAGACACCUGCAUAGAGCCACCUGCAUUCUCCACUGGUCUCCAGACAAUUGCUGGGAGCUGCUGAGGCGAAUGAGUACUCAGGGGAGAUCCCUCUUAUCCUCCAGCAGAAAUGCUCUGGACUCAGGGAAGAAACAAAGCAAGAAAGCUGACUUCACCGAGAAGAAUGAGAGAACAAACCCAGAUCUGGACUCGGCUCUAUUUCCCACCAGGUGGGAAAUUGCACAAUUUAUUUUUAUGCUUAAACCUGCAAAAAAUUUAAAAAGGAAAAAAAAAAAAAAAACCUGUUUUAUUCAAAAGACCGGUUGCUUGCUUGGUUAAUACAAUAGUGAUUCAUGUUGAAAACCCAGUUAUAGAACUGCCUACAUGUAGUGGGGCUACAAGCUGCUCCUUUAGCUUUUGUUGUUGUUGCUGUUAUAGCUGCCAGGCACAGGAAGUUGCAUUUUACUCCUGUUUCCAAAUAUACCUAAUGUCAAAAUCUAAA